This 1346-nucleotide ribosomal RNA is filed under the name uncultured bacterium. RNAcentral describes it as "bacterial SSU rRNA". It matches the Rfam family "Bacterial small subunit ribosomal RNA", at positions 28 to 1381 of the family's 1533-position model. The record is from RNAcentral.
GACGAACGCUGGCGGCGUGCUUAACACAUGCAAGUCGAACGGAAAGGCCCUGCUUUUGUGGGGUGCUCGAGUGGCGAACGGGUGAGUAACACGUGAGUAACCUGCCCUUGACUUUGGGAUAACUUCAGGAAACUGGGGCUAAUACCGGAUAGGAGCUCCUGCUGCAUGGUGGGGGUUGGAAAGUUUCGGCGGUUGGGGAUGGACUCGCGGCUUAUCAGCUUGUUGGUGGGGUAGUGGCUUACCAAGGCUUUGACGGGUAGCCGGCCUGAGAGGGUGACCGGCCACAUUGGGACUGAGAUACGGCCCAGACUCCUACGGGAGGCAGCAGUGGGGAAUAUUGCACAAUGGGCGGAAGCCUGAUGCAGCAACGCCGCGUGCGGGAUGACGGCCUUCGGGUUGUAAACCGCUUUCGCCUGUGACGAAGCGUGAGUGACGGUAAUGGGUAAAGAAGCACCGGCUAACUACGUGCCAGCAGCCGCGGUGAUACGUAGGGUGCGAGCGUUGUCCGGAUUUAUUGGGCGUAAAGGGCUCGUAGGUGGUUGAUCGCGUCGGAAGUGUAAUCUUGGGGCUUAACCCUGAGCGUGCUUUCGAUACGGGUUGACUUGAGGAAGGUAGGGGAGAAUGGAAUUCCUGGUGGAGCGGUGGAAUGCGCAGAUAUCAGGAGGAACACCAGUGGCGAAGGCGGUUCUCUGGGCCUUUCCUGACGCUGAGGAGCGAAAGCGUGGGGAGCGAACAGGCUUAGAUACCCUGGUAGUCCACGCUGUAAACGGUGGGUACUAGGUGUGGGGUCCAUUCCACGGGUUCCGUGCCGUAGCUAACGCUUUAAGUACCCCGCCUGGGGAGUACGGCCGCAAGGCUAAAACUCAAAGGAAUUGACGGGGCCCCGCACAAGCGGCGGAGCAUGCGGAUUAAUUCGAUGCAACGCGUAGAACCUUACCUGGGUUUGACAUGGAUCGGGAGUGCUCAGAGAUGGGUGUGCCUCUUUUGGGGUCGGUUCACAGGUGGUGCAUGCCUGUCGUCAGCUCGUGUCGUGAGAUGUUGGGUUAAGUCCCGCAACGAGCGCAACCCUUGUUCACUGUUGCCAGCACGUUAUGGUGGGGACUCAGUGGAGACCGCCGGGGUCAACUCGGGGGAAGGUGGGGAUGACGUCAAGUCCUCAUGCCCCUUAUGUCCAGGGCUUCACGCAUGCUACAAUGGCUGGUACAGAGAGUGGCGAGCCUGUGAGGGUGAGCGAAUCUCGGAAAGCCGGUCUCAGUUCGGAUUGGGGUCUGCAACUCGACCUCAUGAAGUCGGAGUCGCUAGUAAUCGCAGAUCAGCAACGCUGCGGUGAAUAAAUUCCCGGGGCU